GCUACACACACUGACGAUCCAGCCGUCAAGUGCCUUGCCGCUUCACACAGCAUGCUGCAUCAAGAUUAAAAAUCUAACAAAUAAGCUUGCAUCUACAGGCACGAUCCAGCCCUCAAGUGACUUGCCGCUUCACACAGCUUGCAACAUCAAGAUAGACAUGCAUCUAUGGGAUACACGAACAAUACCAUGCUCAGCUUGCCGACCCCGAAG
RNAcentral lists this long non-coding RNA (210 nucleotides) under Hordeum vulgare. RNAcentral describes it as "long non-coding RNA (HVUL_LNC009688)". Lineage: Eukaryota; Viridiplantae; Streptophyta; Magnoliopsida; Poales; Poaceae. The record is from RNAcentral.